GUAUUGAAUGCUUGUUGGAUACUUGUUAUAUAUGAGCCUUGGAGAUGAGAGAGAGCCAGGUGUGAGGCUCCCCCCCAUUGGUGGGCAGAGUGGAGGUUGACAUUGUUUCAUCUUUUAGUCCCAAGUCAGGCCUUGGAGCUUGUAAUCAAGGAACCAACAGAGGCUAUUUCGGUGAUACAUGGAGACCCGUAUCAUCUGCCGAGUCAGGCGAGGUAUGAUACGGGCUCCGAGGCGCCAGGCGGUAGGUAUGAUACUUCUUUCGAGAUGUCAGAUGGUGGUCAAUUCCCCUUCUCUCUCUAGGACCGAUCAAGUUAGAGCUCGCCGGAGGCAAGCUCGUCCUCCUUAACAAACCCCUUGCUCUAGCCUCCAAACCACAUUCCUCCUUAGGUCCUGAGCGAAGUACCUAAGCCCUGCUCCCGGCCUAGGAUAGUGUAUAGAGUCGCCUUUAAGUAUUCCGGAGUCUUCGAAGUGUUGAGUAGGAGGUGAGGUACCCGGAGGUGACCUCACUCCUCCAUGGGUGGGGAGUUCCUGGAGGAGGCCUUGCUUCUCCGGAUGCGGAGUUUGUGGAGGAAGCUUGCUUCGGCGGAGGCAAGGUUCGUGGAGGAGGUAUUGCUCCUCCGAAGACAUAGUUUGUGGAGGAAGUCUCCUCCUGGGCGGAAUGUAUAAUUUGUAGAAAGCUUCACUUUGGCGGAGGCAAGGUUCGUUGAGGAAGCCUUGCUCCGCCGGAGGUGAGUAUCAUGGAGGAAGCCUUGCUUCUCCCGAAGGUGAGGAUCGUGGAGGAAGGCUUGCUCCUCCUGGGAUUGGAUCUUGUGGAGGAGGCCUGCUCCUCCUAGAGGUAGAUCUUGCAGAGGAGGCCUGCUCCUCCUAGAGGUGGUCAUCGGCGGGGUUCUUGGAGAAGGUGCAUCUGGUUGCGGGAUAUAUUGUAUACCCACACCUCACAUAUCUUUUGAAAGAUGAUGAAAAGUUGUGAGCUAAAUGCAUAGAACCUUAAACAUAAAUGAA
Molecule: long non-coding RNA, 1002 nt
Organism: Rhododendron vialii
Lineage: Eukaryota; Viridiplantae; Streptophyta; Magnoliopsida; Ericales; Ericaceae
Exons: 3
Source: RefSeq, a predicted model, not a curated record